Long non-coding RNA from Podarcis raffonei (Aeolian wall lizard), 1188 nucleotides. RefSeq lists it as uncharacterized. The transcript has 2 exons. The record is from RefSeq and is a predicted model, not a curated record. NCBI's taxonomy places the organism in Eukaryota, Metazoa, Chordata, Lepidosauria, Squamata, Lacertidae.
GAUAGACUCAUGACAUGCAAAGCGAGAUAUGUCAACCCUUUAUUUGUUACAAUUGUGAUGUUUAUGGCGUACAGCUGAUGAAAACCCCAAAUUAACAAUCUCAGAAAAUUAGAAUAUUAAAUGAAAUCAGCAAAACAAGGACUGCAAAUAGAGCAAUAUUGGACCUCUGAGAAGUAGAAGCAUGCACAUGUACUCAGUACUUGGUUUGGGCCCCUUUUGCAUCAAUUACUGCCUCAAUGUGGCGUGGCAUGGAUGCUAUCAGCUUGUGGCACUGCUGAGGUGUUAUGGAAGACCAGGAAGCUUCAAUAGCAGCCUUCAGCUCUUCUACAUUGCUCGGUCUCAUGUCUCUCAUCUUUCUCUUGGCAAUGCCCCAUAGAUUCUCUAUGGGGUUCAGGUCAGGCAAGUUUGCUGGCCAAUCAAGCACAGUAAUCCCAUGGGCAUUGAACCAGGUUUUCAUACUUUUGACAGUGUAGGCAGGUGACAAAGUCCUAUUGGAAAAUGAAAUCAGCAUCCCCAUAAAGCUCGUCUGCGGAAGGAAGCAUGAAGUGCUCCAAAAUCUCCUGGUAGACGGCUACGUUGACCCUGGACUUAAUGAAGCACAGUGGACCAACACCAGCUGAUGAUAUGGCUCCCUAAAUCUCUUUUCUGAUGAGAGCAGCUUUUGCAUCUCACUUGGAAACGAAGGACCCAAGUCUGGACGAAGAAUGGGGAGGCACACAAUGCCAGAUGCUUGAAGUCCAAUGUGAAGUUUCCACAGUCUGUGUUGAUUUGGGGAGCCAUAAAGAUGAGAGACAUGAGACCGAGCAAUGUAGAAGAGCUGAAGGCUGCUAUUGAAGCUUCCUGGUCUUCCAUAACACCUCAGCAGUGCCACAAGCUGAUAGCAUCCAUGCCAUGCCACAUUGAGGCAGUAAUUGAUGCAAAAGGGGCCCAAACCAAGUACUGAGUGCAUGCUUCUACUUCUCAGAGGUCCAAUAUUGCUCUAUUUGCAGUCCUUGUUUUGCUGAUUUCAUUUAAUAUUCUAAUUUUCUGAGAUUGUUAAUUUGGGGUUUUCAUCAGCUGUACACCAUAAACAUCACAAUUGUAACAAAUAAAAGCUUGACAUAUCUCGCUUUGCAUGUCAUGAGUCUAUCUCAUAUAUUAGUUUCACCUUUUAAGUUGAAUUACUGAAAUAAAUGAACUUUUCCACAA